CCCCGGAAGGCGGCGGUAUGGAGAAGAGGCAGAGGUGGGUGCCAAGGAGGAGAUGGAGGCCGGGGCCAGGGUGCUGUGCUUUGUCAACUCUUGCGAGCCCUCCCAGGUCAUCUUCUGCAACCGCAGUCCACGCAUCGUGCUGCCAGUGUGGCUCAACUUUGAUGGCCAGCCGUGGCCCUACUCGACAGCUGCCGCCGGGCACCGGCCACUGCAUCCACAGCUACCGAGGUCACCUUUGGCUCUUCAGAGAUGCAGGGACAUACGAUGGGCUUCUGGUUAACCACACUGAAUUAUUUGUGCCAUCUCUCGAUGUUGAUGGACAGCCUAUUUUUGCUAACAUCACACUGCCAGUGUAUAACCUGAAAGAGCGAUGCCUCCAGGUUGUCCGAAGCUUAGUCAAGCCUGAGAAUUAUAGGAGACUGGACAUCGUCAGAUCACUGCCUGAAGAUCUGGAAGACCACCCAAAUGUGUGGAAAGACCUGGAGCGGCUGACACAGGAGCACACCGAAAAUCAACGGAUGGGAGGAGGAGAUGGAAGAUUUUAAUUGAAACUUGCACUCUUACAUCUCACCUUUUGAUGGUACUGAUGAAUCUUGCUCUGGAUAUAGGACCUGUCACUUACUCUCUGUUUCAAAACGUCUCAUUCUUGGAAUAAAAUAUACUCCAUUGCUUAAAAAUAAAGUAAACUGACUUCAGUAGGCAUUGGAAUGUUUGGGGGCAAACAUCACAAAAGUGUUACUUAAUGCCUGCCCUUUCUAGAAAGUAUUUAUCAGGACCAAGUAGUUGUAUUUUUGCCUCCUAGUAAGUCAGGAAAUUUUUUGUGUAAGGAUAUUUGUAUACGUCAUUCAGUAAGAAUUGCAGCAUAUCCUUUAAUUGUAAGAAAGCAGUGGUUGGUGUAGUUGGUGAUGUGUCUGCCUCCUGCUUGGGGAAGACAGUCUUUCUCAGGCAGGGACAAGUCUUUCUCCUCUUUGAGACCCCAGUGCCUAGCACAUUAUGAGCCUUCAGUUAGUGUUUGUUAGAUGAACAAACCAGUGGAUGCUUUGGUAGAAAGUGCUUGGAGGUUUUGCCUCUUCUUUUGUUGUGAG
This is an RNA transcript of Lemur catta (Ring-tailed lemur), 1085 nucleotides long. It is a transcript of the gene named von Hippel-Lindau disease tumor suppressor-like, with no coding region annotated. Lineage: Eukaryota; Metazoa; Chordata; Mammalia; Primates; Lemuridae. The transcript has a single exon. The record is from RefSeq and is a predicted model, not a curated record.